RNAcentral lists this ribosomal RNA (484 nucleotides) under uncultured bacterium. RNAcentral's name for it is "partial 16S ribosomal RNA". It matches the Rfam family "Bacterial small subunit ribosomal RNA", at positions 30 to 507 of the family's 1533-position model. The record is from RNAcentral.
AUUGAACGCUGGCGGCAGGCCUAACCCAUGCAAGUCGAGCGGAUGAAGGGAGCUUGCUCCUGGAUUCAGCGGCGGACGGGUGAGUAAUGCCUAGGAAUCUGCCUGGUAGUGGGGGAUAACGUCCGGAAACGGGCGCUAAUACCGCAUCCGUCCUGAGGGAGAAAGUGGGGGAUCUUCGGACCUCACGCUAUCAGAUGAGCCUAGGUCGGAUUAGCUAGUUGGUGGGGUAAAGGCCUACCAAGGCGACGAUCCGUAACUGGUCUGAGAGGAUGAUCAGUCACACUGGAACUGAGACACGGUCCAGACUCCUACGGGAGGCAGCAGUGGGGAAUAUUGGACAAUGGGCGAAAGCCUGAUCCAGCAAUGCCGCGUGUGUGAAGAAGGUCUUCGGAUUGUAAAGCACUUUAAGUUGGGAGGAAGGGCAGUAAGUUAAUACCUUGCUGUUUUGACGUUACCAACAGAAUAAGCACCGGCUAACUUCGUG